GACGAACGCUGGCGGCGUGCUUAACACAUGCAAGUCGAACGGAAAGGCCCCUUUGGGGGUACUCGAGUGGCGAACGGGUGAGUAACACGUGAGUAACCUGCCCUUGACUUCGGGAUAACUUCAGGAAACUGGGGCUAAUACCGGAUAGGAAUCCUUGCUGCAUGGUGGGGGUUGGAAAGCUUCGGCGGGUUUGGAUGGACUCGCGGCUUAUCAGCUUGUUGGUGGGGUAAUGGCUUACCAAGGCUUUGACGGGUAGCCGGCCUGGGAGGGCGACCGGCCACAUUGGGACCGGGAUAAGGCCCAGGAUCCUACGGGAGGCAGCAGGGGGGAAUAUUGCAAAAUGGGCGGAAGCCUGAUGCAGCAACGCCGCGUGCGGGAUGACCGCCUUCGGGUUGUAACCCGCUUUCAGCAGGGGCGAAGCUUGUGGUGACGGUACCUGCAGAAGAAGCACCGGCUAACUACGUG
This 465-nucleotide ribosomal RNA is filed under the name uncultured bacterium. RNAcentral's name for it is "partial 16S ribosomal RNA". It matches the Rfam family "Bacterial small subunit ribosomal RNA", at positions 28 to 507 of the family's 1533-position model. The record is from RNAcentral.